CUAUGCUUUCGCCAUCUCGACGAAAGCAUGUUGGGCCCUCCACGAGAUCACAGCCGAGUGUCCCCUGCACCCAUUAAACUGCACCUCGUCCGCCUCCCUCCUAGUCGAAGUCGCCGCUCUUUCUCUUCCUCUGUCGUGCCCGAAGCCGCGUUUUGUGUGUGUGUGUGUGCCCGUGCGUUGCUGCUCUGAGUCUCGCGGAAGAAGGGAACAGCGUAGGGAGAAAAGACCGAUUGUGGCUUGUGAAACCAACGAGCUUGUGUGCGCAACCUGCAGGUGAUGGUGCACGUAUCCGAUACACGCGGAUGUAUGUGUGAAGGUGCCUCUCUCUAUGCUUUGCUUCUCGAUACAUUGGAUGCUGCUCUCCUGAUGCCAGUCCUCUCCCCUGCCCCCCCCCCACUCUCUGCACCCUCGUUGAGGGAGAUGGCAUGCGAUGAUGGCCAGAUUCAACGUUACCCUGUCUCUCGAGCUCUGUGUGUGUUUGCAUGGCUGAGUCUGCUCUUGCAGUCCUGCACGGCACAGCACGUUCCGCAGCAGCAUUAAAGCGCUUGCUUCUCUUUCUCUGUGUUGCUUCCGCUUCUCCCCUUUCCCGAGCACCACUGACCCUCACCCUACCCCGCCUGGAUCGAUCUUGCGCGCGCACACACACACAUGUCUCUUCCUUCGCGUUCAACUCCCUCUGUGCGUGUAUGUAUUUCACUGCUAACCCCCCCCACACACACACACACCAAAAAAAAAGCAACAGUUAUGCGCAGGAAGAGUGCGGAAGGCAUGUACGGGACUUCUGAGUGAGUGCCUCUUGCUUUCAUCAUUGCCGAGAUGCAGUGCACGACAGCGUAGUCGGAGCCGUCAUCAAUGCCACUGAAUGGAAGGAUUCGAGUGAGAGGGAAAAAGGCUGAGAGCGGACGGCCGCGUUGAGGGAGAGGAAGGUAGGGAAGGAAGGUAGGACAAAUGCAUACAGCCGCAUACACACGCGCGCCAUAGUCAGCCCUUUCCCCUUGCACCGCACCCUUUCUCUCACACAGCCGCGGAGGUCGUGCGAUGCCUGGAAGGAUGAAGGAGCUCGUGGAUGGAACCAGUAAGCUCAUGUGUGCGCCCGCGUGUUUGUCUGUGUGUGUGUGUGUGCCUGCACCUCUCACCGCCUUUCCUCUUCCUUCCCCUCUCUCUCACAG
Molecule: unclassified non-coding RNA, 1169 nt
Filed under: Leishmania donovani
Lineage: Eukaryota; Euglenozoa; Kinetoplastea; Trypanosomatida; Trypanosomatidae
Description: gene:unknown
Source: RNAcentral